This 466-nucleotide ribosomal RNA is filed under the name uncultured bacterium. Its description in RNAcentral is "partial 16S ribosomal RNA". It matches the Rfam family "Bacterial small subunit ribosomal RNA", at positions 30 to 507 of the family's 1533-position model. The record is from RNAcentral.
CGACCGCUGGCGGCGUGCUUACCACAUGCACGUCGACCGGCAAGGCCCUGCUUUUGUGGGGUGCUCGAGUGGCGAACGGGUGAGUAACACGUGAGUAACCUGCCCUUGACUUUGGGAUAACUUCAGGAAACUGGGGCUAAUACCGGAUAGGAGCUCCUGCUGCAUGGUGGGGGUUGGAAAGUUUCGGCGGUUGGGGAUGGACUCGCGGCUUAUCAGCUUGUUGGUGGGGUAGUGGCUUACCAAGGCUUUGACGGGUAGCCGGCCUGAGAGGGUGACCGGCCACAUUGGGACUGAGAUACGGCCCAGACUCCUACGGGAGGCAGCAGUGGGGAAUAUUGCACAAUGGGCGGAAGCCUGAUGCAGCAACGCCGCGUGCGGGAUGACGGCCUUCGGGUUGUAAACCGCUUUCGCCUGUGACGAAGCGUGAGUGACGGUAAUGGGUAAAGAAGCACCGGCUAACUACGUG